AUCCAGCGAACUUGGCAGAGAUGCCUUGGUGCCUUCGGGAACGCUGAGACAGGUGCUGCAUGGCUGUCGUCAGCUCGUGUUGUGAAAUGUUGGGUUUAAGUCCCGCAACGAGCGCAACCCUUAUCCUUUGUUGCCAGCGAUUCGGUCGGGAACUCAAAGGAGACUGCCGGUGAUAAACCGGAGGAAGGUGGGGAUGACGUCAAGUCAUCAUGGCCCUUACGAGUAGGGCUACACACGUGCUACAAUGGCGCAUACAAAGAGAAGCGACCUCGCGAGAGCAAGCGGACCUCAUAAAGUGCGUCGUAGUCCGGAUCGGAGUCUGCAACUCGACUCCGUGAAGUCGGAAUCGCUAGUAAUCGUGGAUCAGAAUGCCACGGUGAAUACGUUCCCGGGCCUUGUACACACCGCCCGUCACACCAUGGGAGUGGGUUGCAAAAGAAGUAGGUAGCUUAACCUUCGGGAGGGCGCUUACCACUUUGUGAUUCAUGACUGGGGUGAAGUCGUAACAAGGUAGGCGUAGCGAG
RNAcentral lists this ribosomal RNA (524 nucleotides) under uncultured bacterium. RNAcentral's name for it is "bacterial SSU rRNA". It matches the Rfam family "Bacterial small subunit ribosomal RNA", at positions 986 to 1509 of the family's 1533-position model. The record is from RNAcentral.